UCUUAUUAGUUUAGUUUUUAGAAUAUAAUUUUGAAGAAGUUAUGGGUUUUAAGAUGAU
This 58-nucleotide transfer RNA is filed under the name Parafilaroides normani. RNAcentral describes it as "tRNA-Phe". The record is from RNAcentral. Lineage: Eukaryota; Metazoa; Nematoda; Chromadorea; Rhabditida; Filaroididae.